This is a long non-coding RNA of Panicum virgatum (switchgrass), 2100 nucleotides long. RefSeq lists it as uncharacterized. The transcript has 4 exons. Lineage: Eukaryota; Viridiplantae; Streptophyta; Magnoliopsida; Poales; Poaceae. The record is from RefSeq and is a predicted model, not a curated record.
AAAAGGAUAAUCAUUGUUAGGGUUCCUGAUCCCUGAUCCAUCCGUCCACCCGACCGCCGCCGCCGCCGACCACGAUCGCCUCCGCUUCCCUGUUCUCUCGGCGCUCUCGUUCGCGUUCAUCGACGUCGGCGGUCCGUCCACGCGCGCGCUCGUUGGCACCGGCAGCAACCUCCCCUCGCCGUCGCCGCCGAUUCAAUUCUCAUCCCCAGUCUCCGAUGCCCAACAGGCGAUUUGAUCUGCGGCACCCGUCGCCGCCCGUGUGGCCUGCCCCCUCCCCUCGCCCGUCGCCGCCGUCGCGAUCCUGCCCUUCCCGCCCGUCCUGACUCGGCCGUCGUCGCCGAGCUGCCGCGGUCGUCCCCAGAGGCAGGAAGCGCGUCUACUUCUCGUCCAAUUCCGGUGAGUUUGCCCUACAUUCCUGCUACCAAUUUAUUCACCAGACGCCGAUUUGGCAAUUUGGCACGAUGAUUUGUACUGGAAUGUACUCGUAGAAGAUUCUUCACUGAUGAUAUUAUCUCACCUCUGUGGAAGGAUUAUGUUCAGAUCAUGAUAACAUCUCAAUUGUCUGUGCCCACUGUCCUGAUCCUUUUUUUAGGUGCAUGAUAUUGAGUGGAACACAGAAAGGGGAACCUUUCUGCUCUGGUGAGCAUGAUAUUGUUUUAUGGAAUGAUAACAUCAUGAUCCCAGCAGCAUAUUUUGUAGUUUGUUCUAAACAUUUGGUUUAGAAAAAUGCUAUCUGAAAGAACUGAUUUAGAGCAUUAAAGAAUUAAACCAAGGGUCUAUCAUUGUAGAUAUUGCAUAAUGGAGUGGACCUAACCAAGGAGACAAUUCAAACAUACUAAUAUUUGGUUCAUGACAUCAGAUAUUGCGGUUCAAUCCAUUGCAUUAUUUUAUUGCCUCAUUAUUUCAGGAAAUUCAGUUCUACUGCUACUACUCCGCCUGACCGUGCAGACUUUUUUUGUUUUUUUCACCUGUUAACCAUUCUACUCAGCUUGUUACUGAGAUAUUAUGUUGAACUUGUGAAAAGUGUGAACCUAUGUAGUUAACUUGUUACGGAGAGGAAGGUUUCUGAUAAAGGCAUGGGAAUACAUCUAUUCUGAAAUAGAGAAGUACUUGUUUUGUUUUGAUAGCUUCAGCUAAGUCAUCAAGACCUGAUUUUGGCCCGAAUGUCAUAAUGAGGUUUAAGCUUCACUUAGUGAAAGAAAUUUAUCCGGAUCUACGAGGAGACGCACUGUUGUACUACCUCAAACCUGCUCCUGGGAGUCGACCAUCAACUGCAUUGGUAGAAAUUAAUGAACAAGAAGAUGUAGCCAAAAUGCUAGAUGCGCAUGCUCAAGAAAGUACAAAAAUUUGUCAUCUCUACAUAGUGAAUGCAGCUGGACUUCAUUAUGAGGAUGGCUAUGCGUGGCGGUCCGAUGACGAAGACCUUGAAUGGCAGUCUGAUGAGGAUGACUACCCAUUGGACCGCGAUGAGUGUGACUGCCCAUUGGACCGCGAUGAGGAUGUGCGUCAACAAGACGACAGGAUGUCUCCUGUGAUGAAGAAACAACGCGCUGAUUAGGUUCUCAUGAUCAUUUCUGAGGUGGAUGGACGCCCUCGCCCUUGAUGCCAGCUUAUCCAAUAACUCAACAUGUGGGAAGAUGCAAUAGCAGGGUUGUGUGCCAUGUCCAAGUUUAUUCAGCCUGCUAGUUGUCAUUUAUUCAAAGACACAGUCCAGUAUUGUUCAGUCUGCUAUUUGUCUUUUAUAGAUGUUCAGUUCUUAUUUAUCAUGGAGUCGUGAACCUUGCAAUCUUUCAUGAUUAUUCAUACUGAACAGCUCUAUUGGUGGGAAGACCGGAAGAUGCAAUAGCAGCGUCGUGUGCGAUGUCCAAGUUUUAAUAUUUAUAAAACAGUUAUAGAUGUUCAGUUUGCUAGUCGUCAUUUAUUCAGAGAUAGAAACUCCAGUAUUGUCCAGUCCGCUUUUUGCCUCUUAUAUAUGUUCACCUCUUUUUAUCAUGGGAUCGUGGACCUCUUUAUAUCAGUGUGCUUGUAGAUGAACAUGUGAGGAUUACAUGGUUUGUCAUUUAGGUGCAAUAAUGGCAUCAAAAGUGCCCGUUUGAAUCU